UGGGUUUAAAGUGUGCGUAGGCGGCCGAUAAAGUCGAUUGUGAAAUUCCACGGCUCAACUUCGGCCAAGCAUUCUGAACUGCGAGACUUGAGUCCUGCUCAGGUAGGCGGAAUUCCCCGGUGUAGCGGUGAAAUGCGUAGAUAUCGGGAGGAACACCAGUGGCGAAGGCGGCCUACUGGAGCGGCACUGACGGUCAGGGACGAAAGCUG
This 209-nucleotide ribosomal RNA is filed under the name uncultured Aquificia bacterium. Its description in RNAcentral is "uncultured Aquificae bacterium partial 16S ribosomal RNA". It matches the Rfam family "Bacterial small subunit ribosomal RNA", at positions 555 to 762 of the family's 1533-position model. Lineage: Bacteria; Pseudomonadati; Aquificota; Aquificia. The record is from RNAcentral.